UUCUUUUUUAUUGGUUUCUUAUUUUAGAGCUGUUUGUUCUCUUCUUGCUCAUUUUGUAUUGGGUUGUGCUUUGAAGUUGCCGGUCCUGGUAGGUCUUACUAUGGUGUUCUAUGGCGCGUCAUACUGGUAUCCGGAGUGUAAUAACGUUCAGGCAAGAUUUAUGGUAUUUCUUCCGCUUUUCCGUCUCCCGGUAUCAUGUUGGCAGGAGUGUUAAUGUUGGGAAUGACCCAUAUGGUUUAAGAUUUGUGAAGUUUUCUAUCAUGAGAUUGGCUCUUCCAGGCAAAGUAUGCUGGAAAAAGACAGUCCCUAAUGGAAACACCUACAGGUGCACUGGUGACUGCCCCUGCAGAGAAGAGAAGCACAGGUACAAGUUGCCCGUGAGCGCAAAAGAAAACAAACCAAAUGAAGAAAAUAAAGAGUUCAUAGGUGAAUUCAUGUUUUUUGGCGAUCACGGUAAAAUACUUAUAGGCCAUGAUGCAGAGCUGGUUGUUGCAACAGCCAGAGGAAAAGCAAGCGAUUUACCACCUGCUGUGCAGAAUGUCGUCGGCACAAAAUGUUUGGUCACUGCCUGUGUCACACAGGAAGCUUACGAAGCUGACAACAUCACGUCCGCUGAGUCCGAUGUCGUCAUCAAGCACAACAAAAACUACAUGGUGUCAAGAAAAAGCUCCGGCACCUUCCCCACCUGACGAAGUACCAAAUGGAACAGAAGAUACAAGAGAUUCAGGCUCCACGCCGAGCGAAAAGAUUAUAGAAAAAGGUUGAUCCGACAUCGAGGGCGUCAGCUUUGCAUCUGAAAAAAAAAGGAAGACUAAACAAGCAAAUUCAGCAUCAGCCAAGAAACAGAGAAGCAAAGCCUCAUGUUCAGCAACGGCUCGAUGCAGCCUGGAAGCUAUUAGCAGAAAGAAUUCCGUGUAGUGAAGAUUUCGCGUGCUACCACAGAUCAGUUAUGUAUUAUAUUACGGAACUACCGGUCAACCUAGACAACGUGUAAUUGAUGUACCGUAGUAGUAAGUACCAACCCAGCUGUGUGCAAUAACUUUAAAGCAUACUUCUAUGUCUC
This is a long non-coding RNA of Lolium perenne, 1063 nucleotides long. RefSeq lists it as uncharacterized. The record is from RefSeq and is a predicted model, not a curated record. NCBI's taxonomy places the organism in Eukaryota, Viridiplantae, Streptophyta, Magnoliopsida, Poales, Poaceae.